Molecule: ribosomal RNA, 496 nt
Filed under: uncultured bacterium
Lineage: Bacteria
Description: partial 16S ribosomal RNA
Rfam family: Bacterial small subunit ribosomal RNA
Source: RNAcentral
AUGCACGCUGGCGGCGUGCCUAAUACAUGCAAGUCGAGCGAACAGACGAGGAGCUUGCUCCUCUGACGUUAGCGGCGGACGGGUGAGUAACACGUGGAUAACCUACCUAUAAGACUGGGAUAACUUCGGGAAACCGGAGCUAAUACCGGAUAAUAUAUUGAACCGCAUGGGUCAAUAGUGAAAGACGGUUUUGCUGUCACUUAUAGAUGGAUCCGCGCCGCAUUAGCUAGUUGGUAAGGUAACGGCUUACCAAGGCAACGAUGCGUAGCCGACCUGAGAGGGUGAUCGGCCACACUGGAACUGAGACACGGUCCAGACUCCUACGGGAGGCAGCAGUAGGGAAUCUUCCGCAAUGGGCGAAAGCCUGACGGAGCAACGCCGCGUGAGUGAUGAAGGUCUUCGGAUCGUAAAACUCUGUUAUUAGGGAAGAACAAAUGUGUAAGUAACUAUGCACGUCUUGACGGUACCUAAUCAGAAAGCCACGGCUAACUACGUG